CACGUAGUUAGCCGGGGCUUCUUAGUCAGGUACCGUCAUUAUCUUCCCUGCUGAUAGAGCUUUACAUACCGAAAUACUCCUUCACUCACGCGGCGUCGCUGCAUCAGGGUUCCCCCCAUUGUGCAAUAUUCCCCACUGCUGCCUCCCGUAGGAGUCUGGGCCGUGUCUCAGUCCCAAUGUGGCCGUUCACUCUCUCAAGCCGGCUACUGAUCGUCGCCUUGGUAAGCCGUUACCUUACCAACCAGCUAAUCAGACGCGGGUCCAUCCCAUAGCGAUAAAUCUUUCAAAACAGGACCAUGCGGUCCCGCUUUCCCAUGCGGUAUUAGCAGCCGUUUCCAGCUGUUCGUCCCCCUCUAGUGGGGCAGGGUUACCCACGCGUUACUCCACCCGUCCCGCCACUCAGUCAUCCCAUAUGCUUCCUUUCCCCCAGCAAGCUGGUUCUGUCUGCGGGUGGGAUGCUUUCGUUCGACUUGCAUGUGUUAGGCACGCCGCAGCGUUCA
This 500-nucleotide ribosomal RNA is filed under the name uncultured Lachnospiraceae bacterium. Its description in RNAcentral is "partial 16S ribosomal RNA". Lineage: Bacteria; Bacillati; Bacillota; Clostridia; Lachnospirales; Lachnospiraceae. The record is from RNAcentral.